CCUACGGGGGGCUGCAGUAGGGAAUCUUCCACAAUGGGCGAAAGCCUGAUGGAGCAACGCCGCGUGGGUGAAGAAGGUCUUCGGAUCGUAAAACCCUGUUGUUAGAGAAGAAAGUGCGUGAGAGUAACUGUUCCCGUUUCGACGGUAUCUAACCAGACAGCCACGGCUAACUACGUGCCAGCAGCCGCGGUAAUACGUAGGUGGCAAGCGUUAUCCGGAUUUAUUGGGCGUAAAGGGAACGCAGGCGGUCUUUUAAGUCUGAUGUGAAAGCCUUCGGCUUAACCGGAGUAGUGCAUUGGAAACUGGGAGACGUGAGUGCAGAAGAGGAGAGUGGAACUCCAUGUGUAGCGGUGAAAUGCGUAGAUAUAUGGAAGAACACCAGUGGCGAAAGCGGCUCUCUGGUCUGUAACUGACGCUGAGGUUCGAAAGCGUGGGUAGCAAACAGGAUUAGAUACCCGGGUAGUC
RNAcentral lists this ribosomal RNA (465 nucleotides) under uncultured bacterium. RNAcentral describes it as "partial 16S ribosomal RNA". It matches the Rfam family "Bacterial small subunit ribosomal RNA", at positions 338 to 795 of the family's 1533-position model. The record is from RNAcentral.